UAAAUUAGUUCUGCCCAAUGAUUUAUUAAUUAAAUGGCUGCAGUAUUUUAACUGUGCGAAGGUAGCAUAAUUAUUAGUUUAUUAAUUGUAAACUUGUAUGAAUGGUUAUAUGAAAAUUAAACUUUCUUUAAUUUAUUAUUAUGAAUUUAUAUUUUUUGUUAAAAUACAAAAAUAUAUUUAUAAGACGAGAAGACCCUAUAAAACUUUAUAUUAUAAUAUAAAAUAUUUUAUAUUAUAAUAUUCAAUUGGGGAGAUUAUGAAAUCUUUAUAACUUUCAUAUUUUUUAUUUCAUUAAUGGUUGUUUUAUUGAUUUAAUAUAUUAUAUUUGGAUUGGUUACUUUG
This 342-nucleotide ribosomal RNA is filed under the name Nannocoris sp. CR 4259. Its description in RNAcentral is "partial 16S ribosomal RNA". The record is from RNAcentral. Lineage: Eukaryota; Metazoa; Arthropoda; Insecta; Hemiptera; Schizopteridae.